Molecule: ribosomal RNA, 253 nt
Filed under: uncultured bacterium
Lineage: Bacteria
Description: partial 16S ribosomal RNA
Rfam family: Bacterial small subunit ribosomal RNA
Source: RNAcentral
UACAGAGGGUGCAAGCGUUACUCGGAAUUACUGGGCGUAAAGCGUGCGUAGACGGUUAUUUAAGUCGGGUGUGAAAGCCCCGGGCUCAACCUGGGAAUUGCAUUCGAGACUGAAUAGCUAGGGUGCGGAAGAGGGAAGCGGAAUUUCCGGUGUAGCGGUGAAAUGCGUAGAUAUCGGAAGGAACACCAGUGGCGAAAGCGGCUUCCUGGUCCAGCACCGACGUUCAGGCACGAAAGCGUGGGGAGCAAACAGG